UUCCCUUCACGCUGCUCUUCCGAUGUCUACAUUGUUAUGAAAUAUGUCUUCAGAUUAUCAGCUCGGAGAGAUAUUCGACGGAGUAUUAUUGAUCCGACACGAUUACCCCGAUCUCUGCAUUAUCAGAAUUAUAGUUGGGCGGCACGUAUCUUUUCUUUAACUGCCAUUAAACACUUUAAGGGGUGAAACCAACCUUCAAAGUAAGGCAUGUCAAGGGGUGAUUUGGUAGUUUUUUUUUUUUUUUUUGACCAAAUUACGGUUUUGAUUUUUCGUUAUGAGAAAACUUUUCCGAUUGGAUUGAUUAAAAAAUAUUAUAUUCUUGUGGGUGAAACUGCCAAGUCACCCUUUGACAUGCCUCACUUUGGACGGUGGUUUAA
RNAcentral lists this long non-coding RNA (377 nucleotides) under Neodiprion lecontei (redheaded pine sawfly). Its description in RNAcentral is "uncharacterized LOC124293974". Lineage: Eukaryota; Metazoa; Arthropoda; Insecta; Hymenoptera; Diprionidae. The record is from RNAcentral.